This 253-nucleotide ribosomal RNA is filed under the name uncultured bacterium. RNAcentral describes it as "partial 16S ribosomal RNA". It matches the Rfam family "Bacterial small subunit ribosomal RNA", at positions 524 to 776 of the family's 1533-position model. The record is from RNAcentral.
UACGUAGGGUGCAAGCGUUACCCGGAUUCACUGGGCGUAAAGCGGGUGUAGGCGGCUCGGUAAGUCGGGUGUGAAAUCCCACGGCUCAACCGUGGAAUUGCGCCCGAAACUGCUGAGCUUGGGGCCGGUAGAGGGGGAGGGGACUGCCGGUGUAGGGGUGAAAUCCGUAGAUAUCGGCAGGAACGCCGGUGGGGAAGCCGGUCUCCUGGGCCGCGCCCGACGCUGAGGCCCGAAAGCUAGGGGAGCAAACCGG